This 493-nucleotide ribosomal RNA is filed under the name uncultured bacterium. Its description in RNAcentral is "bacterial SSU rRNA". It matches the Rfam family "Bacterial small subunit ribosomal RNA", at positions 28 to 531 of the family's 1533-position model. The record is from RNAcentral.
GAUGAACGCUAGCGGCAGGCUUAAUACAUGCAAGUCAAGGGGGUAGCAAUACAACCGGCGCACGGGUGAGUAACACGUACACAACAUACCAUAUACUGAGGUAUAGCUUCGGGAAACUGAAGGUAAUCCCUCAUAGUAUUGUGAAAGGGCAUCUUUUUACAAUUAAAGUUUCGACGGUAUAUGAUUGGUGUGCGUUUGAUUAGCUAGUUGGUAGGGUAACGGCCUACCAAGGCAACGAUCAAUAGCUGGCGUGAGAGCGCGACCAGCCACACUGGAACUGAGACACGGUCCAGACUCCUACGGGAGGCAGCAGUAGGGAAUAUUGGACAAUGGGCGAAAGCCUGAUCCAGCCAUGCCGCGUGAUAGAUGAAGGCCCUNUGGGUUGUAAAUAUCUUUUANCUGGGAAGAAACACUUCUAUUCUUAGAAGCUUGACGGUACCAGAGGAAUAAGNACCGGCUUAACUCCGUGCCAGCAGCCNCGGUUAAAGCAGUG